UACGUAGGGUGCAGGCGUUAAUCGGAAUUACUGGGCGUAAAGCGUGCGCAGGCGGUUUGCUAAGACAGGUGUGAAAUCCCCGAGCUUAACUUGGGAACUGCGCUUGUAACUGGCAAGCUAGAGUGCGGCAGAGGGGGGUGGAAUUCCACGUGUAGCAGUGAAAUGCGUAGAGAUGUGGAGGAACACCGAUGGCGAAGGCAGCCCCCUGGGUCGACACUGACGCUCAUGCACGAAAGCGUGGGGAGCAAACAGG
RNAcentral lists this ribosomal RNA (253 nucleotides) under uncultured bacterium. Its description in RNAcentral is "partial 16S ribosomal RNA". It matches the Rfam family "Bacterial small subunit ribosomal RNA", at positions 524 to 776 of the family's 1533-position model. The record is from RNAcentral.